RNAcentral lists this ribosomal RNA (253 nucleotides) under uncultured bacterium. RNAcentral describes it as "partial 16S ribosomal RNA". It matches the Rfam family "Bacterial small subunit ribosomal RNA", at positions 524 to 776 of the family's 1533-position model. The record is from RNAcentral.
UACGUAGGGUGCAAGCGUUAAUCGGAAUUACUGGGCGUAAAGCGUGCGCAGGCGGUUUUGUAAGUCUGACGUGAAAUCCCCGGGCUCAACCUGGGAAUUGCGUUGGAGACUGCAAGGCUAGAAUCUGGCAGAGGGGGGUAGAAUUCCACGUGUAGCAGUGAAAUGCGUAGAGAUGUGGAGGAACACCGAUGGCGAAGGCAGCCCCCUGGGUCAAGAUUGACGCUAAUGCACGAAAGCGUGGGGAGCAAACUGG